AAACCUGUAAAAGUAUGGGAUAAAAAUUACUGCUCAUUCUUCAUCAAAGGAGACGGAUUCUUCCUGUGCAGCACGGCUGAAGAUGAGUCACACCUGUGGCACUAUCAUCUGCCGCAAUCCACACGGUGAAUUCACCCUCGUUUCCGCACUCUUGCUCCAGGAUUCCGCAAAAGUCACCGAGAUAGGACAAAACUGGAUGGUUUUUCAGUCAGAGUGCCAACCACACAGGAACGAAAGACGAGAAAGUGGCCACAUGGGCAGCCGCGUGCUGCGCCGUGUGCCUCCCUCUUCCGUCUCCAGAGCCACAUCAGUACAAGAAUAUUCAACCCCAGGCACCCACUAGAGGCCUCGCGAGACCAUGACACGGAACUGAAAAGGCAACAACAGAACUUACUUUGCCCGCAAGGUAUCCAGUUCAAAACACACCACCAGAUGUUAAACAUGGAGGCAUGAUGGUAUACGUGAAGAAAAGUAAUCUGACUGGUUUUUUUCCGCAAAA
Long non-coding RNA from Felis catus (domestic cat), 499 nucleotides. RefSeq lists it as uncharacterized. The transcript has 2 exons. NCBI's taxonomy places the organism in Eukaryota, Metazoa, Chordata, Mammalia, Carnivora, Felidae. The record is from RefSeq and is a predicted model, not a curated record.